Molecule: ribosomal RNA, 730 nt
Filed under: uncultured bacterium
Lineage: Bacteria
Description: bacterial SSU rRNA
Rfam family: Bacterial small subunit ribosomal RNA
Source: RNAcentral
AACAGGAUUAGAUACCCUGGUAGUCCACGCCGUAAACGAUGUCGACUUGGAGGUUGUUCCCUUGAGGCGUGGCUUCCGGAGCUAACGCGUUAAGUCGACCGCCUGGGGAGUACGGCCGCAAGGUUAAAACUCAAAUGAAUUGACGGGGGCCCGCACAAGCGGUGGAGCAUGUGGUUUAAUUCGAUGCAACGCGAAGAACCUUACCUACUCUUGACAUCCAGAGAACUUAGCAGAGAUGCUUUGGUGCCUUCGGGAACUCUGAGACAGGUGCUGCAUGGCUGUCGUCAGCUCGUGUUGUGAAAUGUUGGGUUAAGUCCCGCAACGAGCGCAACCCUUAUCCUUUGUUGCCAGCGGUUAGGCCGGGAACUCAAAGGAGACUGCCAGUGAUAAACUGGAGGAAGGUGGGGAUGACGUCAAGUCAUCAUGGCCCUUACGAGUAGGGCUACACACGUGCUACAAUGGCAUAUACAAAGAGAAGCGACCUCGCGAGAGCAAGCGGACCUCAUAAAGUAUGUCGUAGUCCGGAUUGGAGUCUGCAACUCGACUCCAUGAAGUCGGAAUCGCUAGUAAUCGUGGAUCAGAAUGCCACGGUGAAUACGUUCCCGGGCCUUGUACACACCGCCCGUCACACCAUGGGAGUGGGUUGCAAAAGAAGUAGGUAGCUUAACCUUCGGGAGGGCGCUUACCACUUUGUGAUUCAUGACUGGGGUGAAGUCGUAACAAGGUAACC